AUCCCGGCGCCCCGGCGGCUGUUCGGUCGGCCACCCUGGAGCAGCUGUACUGGGACCGACUGUGUGUGCUGAGGACCUGGACGGCGCUGGGGAUACCCAACAGAGCGGAUAUUAGGUAGCGGAAGGGGGGAAGAAAGGGGAGAACAACGAACCACGAACGAGUGAAGCUGCUGGAGGAGAGGGGAGAAGGGGAGAGGGGAGAUGGGGGAGUCGUUGGGUGUUUUGCUGGCUGAGUGGCUGGUUGGGUGGUUAGGUGGUUGGGUUAUCUCAUACAACAGUGUGUUCAGCUUGCAGAUGUAUAUUUGAACGUGCCAUUGAACGAUGCCAGUGCUGCUGGGCGGAUGGAUGGAUGGAUGGAUGGAUGGAUGGAUGGAUGUGGAGAGGCCGGGAGCGGGUGGAGGACGGCGGAGGAGCGGGGCGACAUACAGACAUGCACACCUACUACAUGCGUACAUGUGUACAGCCCGGCUCAUUGACCGCCGGUAUCCCGCCAGCCAGAGAUACAGACAUACAUCCCCCCACUACCUCACAAGAGCCCGUCGCCACAAUAAUAACAGGGCAUGGGCUACUCGACGAGCCACAGAAAGUGGCGAAAGUUGCAUAUUAGUCGCUAAUUUAACGGAUAAAUCUUUUUAAGUCUGGUGGGGGCCCCUCCACCCCAUCGCCAACCUAACCUCCACAUUAGGGGUUGGGUAACAGACUCAAUGGAGGGCACCAUAGCUGCUCUGGAUUCCGCACUGAGAGGCAGAAAUAGACUAGCCGCCUGUGCGCCGGGAUUUUAGCUCAGAGAGCGACCAUGGCACUAAAACGCCCAUUCCACUUACGAAGGGAUUGAGCUAAUGGGCCCCGUGGCUGGAGGUAUUACUCCACUGGCUGAUGCCAAGCCCGGAACAUUGCUCUAGCCCUGCCUGGUCUGGUGCGUGCAUGGCCACAUCUAGAGCAUCCCCCGCGCAAGAAGAACAUCCUCCAACGUUUGCAGUGCCUUGCAGCCCAGGAGUGUGCUUGGUGUCGAAACUCCAGCCCCUGGGCGGAUGUUAACUGACGGGACAGUCAAAAUCUCUUUUCCGGAAGAACAGGGUUUCCUCGAGAGGCAAAUUCCAACACCACGCAUUAGGAACUAACGGAUGAACGUCAACAUCUUCAACUGGGGGAAGAUAUGCCAGCGCAGCUGAGGUAGAACGAUUACCCCAAACCAAGGCACCCCGCCUGGGACGUGAACAGACACAUGAGAUUGUACGUCGGGUAAAGGGCAUGCAGGAAAGAGAGUGCAUGACCAAGGCCUAAGGCCGUCGCGUUAAAACUGGCUGGAUUGCGCUUGAACAUGCUCUCGAACGGCUAAU
This 1340-nucleotide long non-coding RNA is filed under the name Volvox carteri. Its description in RNAcentral is "long non-coding RNA (VCAR_LNC001602)". The record is from RNAcentral. Lineage: Eukaryota; Viridiplantae; Chlorophyta; Chlorophyceae; Chlamydomonadales; Volvocaceae.